UGAUGUGGAAGGAUGAGGGCACCUUCGGUAGAAUUUCUAGGAGCAAGUAUAGGAUGACUCUGUACUUAAAAAAUAUGGUGUAUAGUGGAUCUGCCAUGUGUGCUGCAGUUUCUCCUGCGCAUCUUGCAGAGGCAAUUGCUACCAGAAAUGCAGUGUUCAUAGACAAAUGUAGGAGGGAACACGUGGCUAAUGGUUCAAAUGGUUUUUGAGUUAGGCAUGUUAAGACUAAGAAACGGUCUCAAGAUGGAUUAGGUGGUUUGAUGUCUGAGUAUAGAGUUUGGAGUCCCUUAAGGAAUCGCUUAGUAAUGGGGUGAGCAAAGAUAGUCCUAUCGUCGAUGGCAUCAUGGAAUAUGGUAAUUGUGGCCAAGUGGACUUUGAUGGAACUCAGGGAGAGUCUGUUAGAGAUUAAACUCUCUGGAUAGUCGAGGAUUAGUGGGAGAGGCGUGGAAAAAAGGAGUGGUUUUUGUGACAGCCCACCAGUGUGUAAAUCAUGUCAGUUAUGAAGGCAAGUGGUGCAUGUAGAAUUUGUUGUACUAUGAAGGAGUACAUUUCAAACCUGCUCCAUGGUUAAAUUGGGGUGGAGUAAUAGGCCAUGUUGUUGGGACAAGAGAUUCAGGUGGAGGGUAGUGGGAUGGGUGCGGAAAGCGACAUCUUGGUAAGGAAAGGGAACCGUGCCUUUCUGGGCCAUGUGGGGCUAUCACGACUCUGGCUUGGUUUGUUCAUAUUUUUUUAAUCAAUAAUUUGUGUAGAGUGGUAUCAGAGAAAUGCAUACAUUAGGUCAGUGUUCCAUGGGAACGUGAAUGCAUCCCCUGGGGAGUGUUUGCCUAGUCCUGCUCUAGAACAAAAUCUUGGGAAUUUCUUGUUUGCUGCAGUUGCAAAAAGGUCGGUGGUUGAGUAUCCCCAGUGUGUGGAAUAUGUCCAGUACUAGAUCCUCAUUUAGUUUCCAUUUGUGGUCUAUGGGAAAUCUUCUGCUGAAGUCGUCACAGUGGUAUUGAGAGAGUCAGGUGAGUAUGCAGCUGAUAUUCAGACAUUGUGUCUGAGACACCAGUUCCAUCGUUUCUGUACAAAGAGUAGGAUCACAACCCUUCCCCCCCUUUGCCUGGUUACAUAGAACAUGCAGGUAACGUUAUCGGUCAUUAGCCUGACAUGUUGGUUUUGUAUGAAGGGGAGAAAUUGAAGGCAGGCAUUAUCUAUGGCUCAGAGUUCUAGAUGUUGAUGUGAAGGGACAUCUCGGCCAGAGACGAAAGCCCCUGGUUAAUGUGUUGGGGCAUGUGUACUCCCUCUCCCGUAAGGGAUGCAUCUGUAGUUAUGACAACCAACAGGACAUCCUGUAGAAAGGGGACCCCUGAGGAAAGGUUGUGAGGCAAUGUUCACCACUGGAGGGAGUCUCUGACUCUGGGAGAUAUGUAUAAAAGUUUGUUCAGACCAUGGAUAUUCUGUCUGUAGACAAUGGAAUCCAGCUUUGGAAACACCUCAUGAAGAGGCGAGAAUUCCUGACUACAAAAGCGCAAGAGGCCAUGUCAUCAACAGAUAGUUAAGGGUUAAUGUCUCUUUUACCUGUAAAGGGUUAAGAAGCUCAGUAAACCUGGCUGACACCUGACCAGAGGACCAACAGAGGGACAAGAUACUUUCAAAUCUUGGUGGAGGGAAGUUUUUGUUUGUGCUUUUUGUUUUGGAUGUUGUUCGCUCUUAGGACUAAGAGGGACCAGACGUCAAUCCAGGCUCUCCAAAUCUUUCUAACCCAGUCUCUCAUGUUUCAAAAUUGUAAGUAACAGCCAGGGAAGCCGGAUUAGUUUUAUUUUUGUUUUCUCAACUUGUAAAUGUCCUUUUUUUGCUGAGAGGAUUUUACCUGUUUGCUGUAACUUUGAACCUAAAGGGGGUUCCUCUGGGGCUAUACGAAUUUGAUUACCCUGUAAAGUAUUUUCCAUCCUGAUUUUACAGAGAUGAUUUUUACCUUUCUUCUUUAAUUAAAAGCUCUCUUUUUAAGAGCCUGAUUGAUUUUUCCUUGUUUUAAGAUCCAAGGGGUUUGGACCUGUGUUCACCAGGGAACUGGUGAAGUCCCUCAAGGCCACCCAGGGAGAGGAGAGUUUUGGGGGGACAGGAAGUGCUCCAGACACUGACUUCUGGAUGGUGGCAGUGUACCAGAUCUAAGCUAGUAAUUAAGCUUAGACGUGUCCAUGCAGGUCCCCACAUUUGUACCCUAAAGUUCAGAGUGGGGAAGGAACCUUGACAGGCUAUGUGGCCUCAGAGUUUAGGAAAGCUCAUGCAGCCACUUGUGGACUGUUGCACAGCUUGGGAACGAAAAGGUUGAUGGUGUUAAAAAGGUGGAGUAGGAGAGGUGCUAUUCUUUUGUGUGCAUUGAAAUGUGCUCCUAUGAACUCCAGCUGUUGGAGUGAGUGAAGAUAUUCUUUGCUCAUUUACAGGCCAAGAGCAUGGAAACAUUGGACACUCUGUUGUGUGGAGUGAAUGGCUUCCUGAAGGGUCCUGGCUUUGAAAAGGCAAUUGUCGAGGUCCACUUGAGGAGUCCUCCAGAACUAAAAGAUGGAGCAGGAGAUGUCUAGGAGUAAAGAUCACUUGUGGUAUUGGAGAAGAUCCUGCUCAGACAAUCCACAAAUGUGUCCUGCUUCCUAGAAAGGCGCCCCUGUGCAUUGAAUGCAGACAGGACAGCAGAUACACUGAACAACAUUAGCAGCCACCAUCACCAAGGAAUCUGGAAGAAGGCGAGUACAAAUUUCAUAUCCCUUACUGGGGACAAAGUACCUCCUUUCAGCUCACUUUGCUGUGGGAGCUAAUGAGGAUGGUAACUGCCAGAGCACCUUGAUUUGCUCCAUCAUGGCUUCAUUAAACUGGCAAAGGCAAGCUGUCAGGGCUGGCAAUACCAGAAUGUCCACCAACUUGUGGGAGCUUUCACCCCCUCUGCCUGAAUGUCAGGAACAGAGGCCACCCUUCCCAACAGAUUUUGAUAAGCCCCAUGGUUCUCUGGAGGUGGUGAAUCGCUUGCUGCCUCAACAGCCUCAUCUGGCAAUGAGAAAGAGGACACCACAGGAUUCUGAGGUAGAGGUUGCUCCAAUACUUAUGGUGGGGAAGCCGCCUGAGUGACUUCUGGCUGGCUGGCACUGUUCUUGGUACAGUGCCCAGAAAAUGAUGUCUGAUGCUGAUGCCACCCAAGCCGUUUCAAUGACGAAAAAUGAGACGUUGCAGGAAGGUCCUAGCAGGAGGAGGGAUGCCUCAUGGUCAGCCGCUAACAUGGGCCUGGGACCCAACUUUGAUGGGGCCAUUACACCUUUGGAGGAGGAAAAGGCCAGUGCUGUGACUGUUGCAUGACCCAUGGUCCUCAAGUCUCUGAUGGAGCGUAUGUUCUCUGUUUUGGAUGACAGAGGGAUGCGCC
Gopherus flavomarginatus (Mexican gopher tortoise) is the source of this 3388-nucleotide long non-coding RNA. RefSeq lists it as uncharacterized. The record is from RefSeq and is a predicted model, not a curated record. The transcript has 3 exons. NCBI's taxonomy places the organism in Eukaryota, Metazoa, Chordata, Testudines, Testudinidae.